GGUGGGAGGGGCUAGGGGUCGGGAAAUGACGUCGCGGUUAACGCGUUCACUGUGCGGGUUGAGCUCCCUAGUAACGGCGACUCCCUGGGGCUUCGGGGAGGCUAUUACGACUCCCGGGGUCCUCGGCCGCAUAGCCAGUCUGCCUUCUCCCCACCUUCGAUGUCCCCGCCUCUCAACGCACCAGCCCAACGCUUCUCCCCACCCUCGCCCUCUUCCUCCUUCCCUCUCCGCAGCACGGGCGGCUGGGGCCGACCGCAUCCCUCAGAGUCCUUAGUGACCUGCGAGGUUGCGCUUCCCCCGGCCUCCAAGACGCCUCCGCCUCGGGCGGGGUGAGAGAACCAGGAUUUCGGGCCGGAGCCUGGAGCGGGGAGGGAAAAAGGUUUCUACCAGACGCGGAGACCAGCCGGCCGUGCGGUCGGAGAGGUCCGGUUCAGUUCGGUUCCUGCGGAGCUACGGAGCCGGGACUUAGGGGCCGAGAAGGCGGGCCCUCCGUUUGGGAGCCUUGGCCCUCGUGCCCCCUGUCCCCAGCCCAACCACACACCACAACCCCCGUCCGGAUCCGCCCGGCAGCGGGGGGACCGGGAUGGAGGUGCGGGGACCCUGGUCCUAGUCGUGGUCCGUGGGGAAGAUGGCGACUCCAGGGAUGAGCUGGCAGCAGCACUAUUACACGGCGGCGGCCGGGGGGACGACGAGAUUCUCUUCCUCGGCCGCGGCUCAGCAUUCGGCGUCCACCAUGGACUACAGCCAGGAUCUCCAUUUCAAAAUGAGCAAGAAGAUUGCACAGCUCACCAAGGUAAUAUAUGCUUUGAACACUAAAAAUGAUGAGCAUGAAUCUUCAAUUCAAGCCCUUAGAGAUGCUCAUGAAGAGGAAAUUCAGCAAAUUCUUGGCGAAACAAGAGAAAAGAUUUUGCAAUAUAAAAGUAAACUUACAGAGGAGUCAGACCUUAAACGAAAGAUCCAAGCCUUAGAAGAGUCACUAGAAGGACAUAAGAAGAUGAAACAUCAGGCUUUGACUGAGUUUGAAGCUUACAAACACAGAAUGGAAGACAUGCACAUUUGUGCGGAAGCACAACACGUCCAACGUGUACUAACAAUGGCUCAAGAAGUUGAAGAUAUCAGAAAGAAGUUUGAGAAGAAAUUGGAGAGCUUUGCACAGCUACAAGUCCAGUUUGAGAAAGAUAAAUUGCAGGCUUUAGAUACCUUGAAAGCAGAACAUAUACAGGAAAUGCAAGAACUCCUUCAGACCCAGGACUGUCACAGUGCCUCCUUAAAUAAGGGGCAGGAAAAGGUGGAAGAACUGCACAGAAUUGAAGUGGAAGGCUUAAAUAAAAAACUUGAAGAACUGAAGCUUGAAAGGAAAAAGCUAAUUGAGGAAUAUGAAGGCAAACUGAGUAAAGCUCAGUCCUUUUAUCAAUAUGAGCUGGAUGCCUUGAAAAGAUCCCAGCACUUUACAACUGACAGUCUUCAUGCUAGCAAAGAAAAAGAAGCAGAUCUGAAAAAGGAAUUUCAGAAUCAAGAAGCAAUCUUCCGUAAGACUGUAUUUAGCCUUAGGGAAGAAUUACAAAUAGCAAAGGAUGAAACUGGAAAUCUUCAAGAAAAAUGCCAAAAGCUUCAAAUAGCAAUGUCUACAGUAGAAAACAAUAAUAUGAUUCUUCAAAAACAACUAGAUGAUGUCAAAGGAGAAGAAAUAAAUUUACUAAGCAAACAUAAGGAGGUGGAAAGUGAGCUAGCAGCUGCUAGAGAAAGGUUACAGCAGCAAGCAUCAGAUCUUGUCCUUAAAGCUAGUCAUAUUGGAAUCCUGCAAGCUACUCAAAUGUCACAGGAGGCUACAAUAAGAGAACUGGAGUCAGAAAAAUCAUUGGCGAAUGAGAAAGUAUUUCAACUUGAAAAAGAAAGAAAUUUUUUGCAAAGCAGAACUCAAAGUCUGGAUGAACAACAGAAAAAGCACAUGCUGGAUCUGGAAAAGAAAAUAAGUGAAGCAAGGAAAGAUCAAAAAGAAUGUUAUGAGAAAGAACUAAUAAAACUUCAAACCAGAUUUGAAGGGGAAAUAGUACAAUUAAAUAAAGCUCACUCUAAGACUUUGGAAGAUUUAGCUCAGAAGCACCAUAUUGCAAUUGAGACUAUCCACAGUAAUACAAAUAAGGAAAAGAAAAGGCUGCUGAUCGAACUAGAAGAAAAACAUAAAAAAGAAAAACUACAACUAGAAGAAGAUAAAAGUCAACUUACACAGCAGAUAGAAAGAUUAAAUGAAGAACUGACAGCCAAACUAAAUACAGCUGAUAAAGAGGUUUCUCGACUCCAGGACUUGGUAAAUAAAAGUGAACAAGGUCUUGGUUGUGCAGAAGGGGUUAUCUCUAAUCUACAGGACUCCUAUGGACAACUUCAGGAUGAACUAGAUUUAACCAGAGUAAGACUAAAGGAAACUACAGACUCAUUAUUAAAUCUUGAGAAUGAACUACAACAAGAAAGACAACAGCAUGAAGCAUUGCUUGCUGCCAUGAGGGAAAAUGAGAAGUUCAAAGUGGACAAAAUGGCCCAAGACUUAGAAAUAAAAUGGACUGAAAAUCUUAGGCAAGAGUGUGCUAAGCUUCGAGAAGAGUUAAGACUUCAACAUGAAGAGGAUAAAAAGUCAGCAAUGACUCAACUUUUGCAGUUAAAAGAGCGGGAAAAAAAUGCUGCCAGGGAUGGUUGGCAAAAGAAGGUAGAAGAUCUCUUAGAUCAGAGGCACUGUCUGGGUGAAGCUUUGCAUAAGUCUAUCAACAAUAUUUCCUUGCUGAAACAGAAUUUGGAAAUGCAGCUCUCCCAGUCUCAGACUUCUUUGCAGCAACUACAAGCCCAGUUUACACAAGAGAGGCAACGUCUUACACAAGAACUUGAAGAAUUAGAAGAACAACACCAACAAAGACACAAAUCCUUAAAAGAAGCACAUGUCCUUGCUUUUCAAAAUAUGGAAGAAACAAAAGAACAAGAACAAAAGGCUCUUGAAAAUCAGUUACAGCAGAAACAUUCAGCUGAGCUUCAGUCUUUAAAAGAUGCCCAUAGAAUGUCCAUGGAGGGUUUCAGGAUAGAAAUGGAACAGGAACUUCAAACACUCCGAUUUGAAUUGGAAGAUGAAGGGAAGGCCAUGCUAGCCUCCUUACGCUCAGAACUAAAUCAUCAACAUGCAGCAGCAGUGGACUUGUUAAGGCAUAAUCAUCAGCAAGAAUUGAUAGCUGCUAAAAUGGAACUGGAGAGAAGCAUAGAAGUUGGCAGAAGACAGGAUGAGGAAUAUAUAUGUCGAAUAUCAGACCUACAGGAGGAACUAAGACACAGAGAACAUCAUAUAUCUGAAUUAGAUAAGGAGAUAGAACAUCUUCAUGAGAGUAUAAAUGCCCUAACCAAAGAGUUGGAGUUUAAGGGAAAGGAAGUUCUCAGAAUACGAAGUGAAUCAAAUCAGCAAUUAAGAUUAGAAGACAUGGAAGAAAAAUAUAUGAAGAGAGAUUCAAGACCCGAAGAUUUACAGAUGAUUGCAGACUUGAAAACCUUGCUUGUAGAGAGAGAUCAAGUCAUAAAGAAACUAAUUGAUGAUAAUAAAUUUUAUCAACUGGAAUUAGUCAAUCGAGAAACUAACUUCAAUAAAGUGUUUAAUGCAAAUCCUAAUGUUGGUGUUAUUAACCCACUUAUGAAGCAAAAGAAGAAGAAUGACAAAUCAACAAACAGGUUUGUGAGUGUUCCCAAUCUAAGUGCUCUGGAACCUAUUGGAGUGGGCAAUGGACAUCCUAACCGCCUGGAUCCCAUUCCUAAUUCACCCAUCCAUGAUAUUGAGUUCAACAACAGCAAACCACUUCCACAGACAGUCAUGCCUUCCAAAGAGCCCAAGACGUUUUUGAGGUGAGCAUUGCCUCACCAGUGAUUUUUUUUUAUCCUAAGAAACUUGCCUUUUUAAUAACAGAAAUUCACUAGCAUGAGAAUAGUUCAGUACCAAUAUUUCUGUGAAAUUAUAUUUUAUGAUAUGUUUGUGGCCUCAUUACUAGAGUACUCCUUUUUCCCUGUUUAAAUUAUUUUUUCCUAAUAACUUUUUUUUCCAAACUCUUACCUUCCAUCUUAGAAUCAAUACUGUGUUUUGGUUCCUAGGCAGAACAGUUAGGGCUAGGCAGUGGGGAUUAAGUGAUUUACACAGGGUGACACAUCUAGGAAGUGCCUGAGACCAGAUUUAAACCCAGGACUUCCUUCUUUAGACCUGACUCUCAAUCCACUGAGCCACCUAGCUGCUCCCCUUUAAAUGACUUUUAAGUUAUAAAUUAACUUCCUUAAAGUCUUACAAAAAAUGGUUUAAAGUAAUUUUUGAGCUUCCAGUUUUUUCUGUGAAAUCUGUUUUUAUCAAUUGCCUUUUAAUAGUUUGUUUUUGUUGCAAAAUUUUAAAUUUGUUUUGAUUUAUACCAGUUUUUUAAUUUGAUGCUAUUUUCUGUGUUAUGAGAAUACUUUCUUUUUCUGUUGUCCUUACAUAUAUUGAAUUUCAGUAGUUUAUUAGUUUGUUUAUUGCCAAAAUAGGAAACAUACAAACUUGAAAAAUUAAUGUAGUAUUUAACUACUCAGAAUAAAAUACCAUCACUCAGAUGACUAAAGAAAAAUAAAUUGUCCAUAUAGUUGUUGAUUUUAUGUUUUACAAAUCAGUAAAUUAUGAAGGAAAUUAAAGUUUUUAGUUCAUAGAUAAUUUAAAUGCAUAUGCACUGCCAGAGUUUUCCGUUUGCUUAAAUGAUAAGACUAUUGUUCCGUUUCAUUUUUUGACCCCUUUUGUUAGCAAAUCUUUUCAGUGUCACUGAAUAAUAGUAGACUACCAGAGUAGAUAUUUAACCUAGUUUGAAGUGAAUAAUUAAUCUUAGUGAUAGGCUCUUUAAGAAAGAAGAGAAAAAAAUCAUGAAUUUUUAAAAAUCAUGUUAAUAAAGUAUAUUCUGUUAAAUAUUUUGUGUUGCUUAUUUUUCCCUGUGAAUGAGUAUGUUCAGGAAUCAGUAAGAUGCAUGUGCAUGAGUUCAUGGAAUAUGACUACUGGAGUUUCCAUUACAUAUUGUUGCGUGACUUAUAAUUUUCCCAAAUGACGUCCUCCUCAGAGUGAAGCUUCACCAGUGGCUUCUCCAGAUCCCCAACGUCAGGAAUGGUUUGCCCGGUACUUCACAUUCUAAGAGAAUUAUUUUGAUACAGCAUUGUGUGGACUGUUAAUAAGAGCAUGACUUUAUUAAAAAUUAUUAUGUAAACAGGCUUUCCUAUAAUGUCAGACACUGUGAAUGAGAAAGUAUUUGUCUCUCCAAUUUGAAAAUAUACUGUAUUUCCUGUGAUAUUUGUUGAAAUCACUCUACAAGGUACUAUAUUAUGUGUGUAAUUAUAUAUGUUAUUUUUAUUUUAAAUGGAAGAGUCUUUAACCUUUGUAAUUACUGCAUAAUAAAUUUUGUUAGAACAA
Non-coding RNA from Monodelphis domestica (gray short-tailed opossum), 5434 nucleotides. The record is from RefSeq and is a predicted model, not a curated record. NCBI's taxonomy places the organism in Eukaryota, Metazoa, Chordata, Mammalia, Didelphimorphia, Didelphidae.